AUGCUGGUGGAAGGAUCGGAUCGUGGAAAGGUCCACAAUCAGUAGGCCCCGCCAGCACCUCGCCCGACCCCAAAGGGGUGUGGGCUGAGUCUGGAGGCGGGGGUGGGGGGCGUGUUCUGGUGGAAGGUAGGCACUUCCAGGUGGGUCUAAUUUUCCUUUGGAAAAGUCUACGACGCCUCUUCUACAGGCUGCUCCAGAAACACAGAUGGCCGGGCUCUGCACCAGACCCGAACCAGGCCAUUCAGAUUUUCUUUUUAUAAAAAGGCAGUGUGAAGCUCUACUAUGCUGGAGGCUGCAGCGGCAGGGAUGGAUCACCUACCAGAGGUUCCUCAGACCUCACCGGGCGGGGGAGGCCCUUCCUGAGAACAUAGCAGCAAGUUCUACUGGCUGCAGGGAGAGACAGGGCUGGAUGGUGCCAGGGCUGCCCUGCCAGCAUGGUGGCAUAGUGGCACUGUGAAGGAGUGACAGCUCUGGUCCAACAGCUUGGGAACCCCGAACCGUGGAGCCUGCACGGUUCCAUAGGGAGUGUUCAAGGUCACGGCUCAGGGAGACGGAAGGGGCCACUGCAUCCAGGGGCUUGUAAACUGUGUCCUCCCAGAACCCUGCUUCUGAGAAGGGACCUCAGGAGCUGUUGCUGGGGGUAGGACCCUGGACCCCACCCCAGUGUCGCACCCCCCCCCCCAGCUCAACAUCUGUCUGAUACACUGGAGUCCUUUGUAAGGUUUCAAUUGGGGGGGAAACUUUUUUUGUUGUUAUUACCCCCACAAAAAAUGCCAGUCAGCCUGGAAA
Molecule: long non-coding RNA, 789 nt
Organism: Echinops telfairi (small Madagascar hedgehog)
Lineage: Eukaryota; Metazoa; Chordata; Mammalia; Afrosoricida; Tenrecidae
Exons: 2
Source: RefSeq, a predicted model, not a curated record